Molecule: ribosomal RNA, 253 nt
Filed under: uncultured bacterium
Lineage: Bacteria
Description: partial 16S ribosomal RNA
Rfam family: Bacterial small subunit ribosomal RNA
Source: RNAcentral
UACGGAGGGUGCGAGCGUUAAUCGGAAUUACUGGGCGUAAAGCGCGCGUAGGCGGUUCGGUCAGUCUGAUGUGAAAGCCCCGGGCUUAACCUGGGAAUGGCAUUGGAUACUGCCGGACUGGAGUGUGGGAGAGGGGUGUGGAAUUUCCGGUGUAGCAGUGAAAUGCGUAGAGAUCGGAAGGAACACCAGUGGCGAAGGCGGCACCCUGGACCAACACUGACGCUGAGGUGCGAAAGCGUGGGGAGCAAACAGG